CUACCCUGGAGCCACGCUCUGUGAUGGGCCCCGUCCUCGCGGACRGGCCCGAAACCCGUGGGCGCCGUCGUCCGGCCCUGAGCGUAGCAAGAGAAAUCCCUCGCUCGGAGURCCUGGCGGCCGGUCGCCCCGAACCCAUUUCUACAAG
This 148-nucleotide unclassified non-coding RNA is filed under the name Venturia nashicola. RNAcentral describes it as "ITS2". The record is from RNAcentral. Lineage: Eukaryota; Fungi; Ascomycota; Dothideomycetes; Venturiales; Venturiaceae.